RNAcentral lists this ribosomal RNA (255 nucleotides) under Klebsiella quasipneumoniae subsp. similipneumoniae. RNAcentral describes it as "partial 23S ribosomal RNA". It matches the Rfam family "Bacterial large subunit ribosomal RNA", at positions 2110 to 2364 of the family's 2925-position model. The record is from RNAcentral. RNAcentral also lists the same sequence under 1 other name. Lineage: Bacteria; Pseudomonadati; Pseudomonadota; Gammaproteobacteria; Enterobacterales; Enterobacteriaceae.
CUUGACACUGAACAUUGAGCCUUGAUGUGUAGGAUAGGUGGGAGGCUUUGAAGCGUGGACGCCAGUCUGCGUGGAGCCAACCUUGAAAUACCACCCUUUAAUGUUUGAUGUUCUAACGUUGGCCCCUAAUCGGGGUUGCGGACAGUGUCUGGUGGGUAGUUUGACUGGGGCGGUCUCCUCCCAAAGCGUAACGGAGGAGCACGAAGGUUAGCUAAUCCUGGUCGGACAUCAGGAGGUUAGUGCAAUGGCAUAAGC